Long non-coding RNA from Harmonia axyridis, 855 nucleotides. RefSeq lists it as uncharacterized. NCBI's taxonomy places the organism in Eukaryota, Metazoa, Arthropoda, Insecta, Coleoptera, Coccinellidae. The transcript is spliced from 2 exons. The record is from RefSeq and is a predicted model, not a curated record.
UUUCCAGUAAUUUCUGAUCGAAAUCGAAAAAGAAAGAAAGAAAAGGCUGAAAUGCUUCACAAUUCAACAUACCAGUAUCACAAAUAAGUUUUGGGAAGAAACUGAUUGCAUAAUAUGGGAAUUCAGCUUGGAGAUUUUUUAAUGAUAUCAAAUUUUGGAGCUUAUUUGCAGUAUAGGAACUAUAUAGUUCCUAUACUGUGGUAUUAUUAGGAAUUUUGAUCCGAUGAGUGUCAACCUUAAUUCAAAGAUUCCCAUUCUAUGAGAAUAAUUCCUAAAUGGGAAUAUGAAAUAAUACAUACCUACCUUGCUGGAUUUAUAAAUUAUUCAAAGAGCAUAUACUGAAUUUUUGUACUUAAAUUAUUAGUGUUAUAUGAAAAUGUUGAAUUCAGCAAAAGAAAGGAAUGUUAUAAAUUUCUACAAAUUCCGAAUACAUUUGAGUGCCAGAUAUACAAUUUCUAAAGCAUUUCACUAAGGAUCAUCAAACGGAGGCAGUUAGGGAAUGGGACAAAAAAGGAAGCUUGUGUUCUGGCCGACAAUCAAUGGUCAAAGACAGGCCAAGUCACUUCUCUCUUACUCGACGAACUGGACUAAAAAAGUUCUCACUCAGGAUUUCAUCAUGUCGUUUACAGUUGGAAGGUGUUGAUCUAUUCAAUAUUUUCCCCCUAUAACAACCCAAUGUUGCCAACCAGAUUCAUCAUUAUUUUGAAAUUAUUUCUCGCCAAUAAUUCUUUAGUAGCUACAAUAAUUGUUUGAACGAUGCUGCCAUAUAAUAAUUCAGAUCAACAUUGCAUGAUCAUUCAUAUGAUAGUUCUCAAGUGGAAAGGAAAUUAUAAAUAAAGCAACACUAUUAGAUAA